RNAcentral lists this ribosomal RNA (451 nucleotides) under uncultured bacterium. RNAcentral describes it as "bacterial SSU rRNA". It matches the Rfam family "Bacterial small subunit ribosomal RNA", at positions 354 to 796 of the family's 1533-position model. The record is from RNAcentral.
GUCGAGGAUCUUUUGCAAUGGGCGAAAGCCUGACAAAGCGACGCUGCGUGGAGGAUGAAGGCCUUCGGGUUGUAAACUCCUGUCAUUCGGGAACAAUAGCGGGCGGGUUAACAGCCUGUCCGAAUGAGAGUACCGGAAGAGGAAGCCACGGCUAACUCUGUGCCAGCAGCCGCGGUAAUACAGAGGUGGCGAGCGUUGUUCGGAUUUACUGGGCGUAAAGGGUGCGUAGGUGGCUAUGUGUGUCGAACGUGAAAGCCCACUGCUCAACGGUGGAAUGUCGUUCGAAACUACAUGGCUAGAGUGCAGGAGGGGAGAGCGGAAUUCUCGGUGUAGCGGUGACAUGCGUUGAGAUCGAGAAGAACACCGGUGGCGAAGGCGGCUCUCUGGAAUGCAACUGACACUGAGGCACGAAAGCUGGGGGAGCAAACAGGAUUAGAUACCCUGGUAGUCC